This is a long non-coding RNA of Oreochromis niloticus (Nile tilapia), 1650 nucleotides long. Lineage: Eukaryota; Metazoa; Chordata; Actinopteri; Cichliformes; Cichlidae. The record is from Ensembl.
AUGUAUAACUGCUUCACCUUUCUAAUUUGGUUAGAUACCUGCGCAGCGACACUGAGCAUCCUGCAGCUGGGUCAGCGUCACACUCAGCAGGAGCAGAAACCUCGGGACAGGCCAGGUAAGCUUUUCUUUUUUAUGUUACCCACUAGCACAAGAAAACCUGCCUUACAAGGUUCCACAUCCACACUAUUGGUGGAUUUCUCUCUCACUCUGUGUAGGUCCACUUCCACAAAGCGCCUACCUCUCAGAGAAUGGGAUGCCUUCCAGCGGACCUUCCCAGUAACACUAAAAGGAGAGCCACCUUCAAAACGCCGCUGUGUACAGGCUGGUUUUCCACACUACCGAGCCCACUACCACAAGCGGAGGGAGCUUCAGCUUAAGCAGAGAGUUCAGCACAUCCUCGGUGUGAUCGCCCUGAUGCCUUUCAACAAAGGAGACGUCGUCUGCGACUACCACGGGACGUGCAUCACCAAAGCUGCAGGGAAUCGGAGGCAGCAGUCGGGGUCUCUCUUCUUCUACAGGGACGAGUGCCACAGGGCUGAUGCCACUGCGUCCCCCUGUGCCUGCCACCUGCACAAGGACUCCUGUGGAAGGCACAUCAACCUUUGCCAAAGGAAUCCAAACGUGAAGCCACAAAGGUUCACAAUGAACUUCCCUGCUGGUCCUCGUGAGAGUGUGCUGUUCAUCGCCCUGAGGGACAUCGCGGUUGGAGAGGAACUCCUGUGGGACUAUGGAGUCUAGAGAUGGCGCCGUGUUUUAUGUCCUAUCCUACAUUUGGAUAUCUGCCCAUACCGACAUGACUCUAAUAUAGUGUAUUUCAUAUAAACAUGGGCCAUAAAAACUAAAAAACACCAUCGAUGUCCAGUCCAGCUGUGGCUCCAUAUAUCUUUCUCAGAGGUGAAAUGCAGGUUAACUCGGUCCAUCCCUGAUGGAGUCACCCAUAAAUCCUUCGACUGGACAUUUGACUUGAGUUGUCUUUGUUUUUUGUUUUGUUUGACCUUUUCUGAUUAAAAACAUGUAAAAAUGUGAGCUCUCAUGCAGCAUUUAAACAUGAUGCUUAUGUCCCUGAUAACUAAACCACUGUUGUUGUUUUUUACCGAUAAUAAAAACUAUUAUUAACACAAUCAGAAAUCAAUCUCCCUCACAGGCCUUUAUAUACCAAACCCUGUGGUGACAGCUGCAGUGGAGACUUCAGGGCUCAAACUUUCUCUGAUUGGCUCCAACCUUGACAGGCUCAGCCUGCUGCUGCCAACAACACUCACUAAGUUUCCCCACCGAGCACCUCAGGCCUCUGCAGUUACUGAUGAUCAUCAACCCUAGUUGGAGAUUUCCAAUCAGAACAGCCAAACACUUCAUUUUAACCUGAACUCUUUACUUUCAGCCCAACACUAAUGUGGCCCUGAGCUUAACUUCAGGUUCACACCACUGUGUGUAAACCCAGCUCAACUUGAACCCUCAAACACCAAACUAAUGUUUUUAUGGUCAUUUUCAUAAAAAUAUUGGAGACCACAUUUAACGUAAUUAACAAAAACAUCCAUGCCACAUCAUUAAAAACAGGCUUUGUUACAGGAAUUAUUUCAGAUUUGACCAAAUGAGGCUCUCCACCCACUGAGGGACAGGCAGUGAGUACUGUGAAACCUGGUGAACCUCCUG